UUAGAUACCCUGGUAGUCCACGCCGUAAACGAUGAUUACUAGGUGUGGGGGGACUGACCCCUUCCGUGCCGCAGCAAACGCAAUAAGUAAUCCACCUGGGGAGUACGACCGCAAGGUUGAAACUCAAAGGAAUUGACGGGGGCCCGCACAAGCAGUGGAGUAUGUGGAUUAAUUCGAAGCAACGCGAAGAACCUUACCAGGUCUUGACAUCGUAUGCAUAGCUCAGAGAUGAGUGAAAUCUCUUCGGAGACAUAUAGACAGGUGGUGCAUGGUUGUCGUCAGCUCGUGUCGUGAGAUGUUGGGUUAAGUCCCGCAACGAGCGCAACCCUUACUGUUAGUUGCUACGCAAGAGCACUCUAGCAGGACUGCCGUUGACAAAACGGAGGAAGGUGGGGAUGACGUCAAAUCAUCAUGCCCCUUAUGACCUGGGCCUCACACGUACUACAAUGGCUGUAAACAGAGGGAUGCAAAGCCGCGAGGUGGAGCGAACCCCUAAAAGCAGUCUUAGUUCGGAUUGUAGGCUGCAACCCGCCUACAUGAAGUCGGAAUUGCUAGUAAUCGCAGAUCAGCAUGCUGCGGUGAAUACGUUCCCGGGCCUUGUACACACCGCCCGUCACGCCAUGGGAGUCGGUAACACCCGAAGCCUGUAGUCUAACCGCAAGGAGGACGCAGUCGAAGGUGGGAUUGAUGACUGGGGUGAAGUCGUAACAAGGUAGCCGUAUCGGAAGGUGCGGCUG
Molecule: ribosomal RNA, 737 nt
Filed under: gut metagenome
Description: bacterial SSU rRNA
Rfam family: Bacterial small subunit ribosomal RNA
Source: RNAcentral